RNAcentral lists this ribosomal RNA (834 nucleotides) under Parastagonospora novozelandica. Its description in RNAcentral is "partial large subunit ribosomal RNA". It matches the Rfam family "Eukaryotic large subunit ribosomal RNA", at positions 86 to 939 of the family's 3401-position model. The record is from RNAcentral. Lineage: Eukaryota; Fungi; Ascomycota; Dothideomycetes; Pleosporales; Phaeosphaeriaceae.
ACGGCGAGUGAAGCGGCAACAGCUCAAAUUUGAAAUCUGGCUCUUUCAGAGUCCGAGUUGUAAUUUGCAGAGGGCGCUUUGGCGUUGGCAGCGGUCUAAGUUCUUUGGAACAGGACGUCACAGAGGGUGAGAAUCCCGUACGUGGUCGCUAGCCUUCGCCGUGUAAAGCCCCUUCGACGAGUCGAGUUGUUUGGGAAUGCAGCUCUAAAUGGGAGGUAAAUUUCUUCUAAAGCUAAAUACUGGCCAGAGACCGAUAGCGCACAAGUAGAGUGAUCGAAAGAUGAAAAGCACUUUGGAAAGAGAGUCAAAUAGCACGUGAAAUUGUUGAAAGGGAAGCGCUUGCAGCCAGACUUGCCUGUAGUUGCUUAUCCGGACUUUUGUCCGGUGCACUCUUCUGCGGGCAGGCCAGCAUCAGUUUGGGCGGUUGGAUAAAGGUCUCUGUCAUGUACCUCCUUUCGGGGAGGCCUUAUAGGGGAGACGACAUGCAACCAGCCUGGACUGAGGUCCGCGCAUCUGCUAGGAUGCUGGCGUAAUGGCUGUAAGCGGCCCGUCUUGAAACACGGACCAAGGAGUCUAACAUCUAUGCGAGUGUUUGGGUGUCAAGCCCAGACGCGUAAUGAAAGUGAACGGAGGUGGGAACCUUUUAGGUGCACCAUCGACCGAUCCUGAUGUCUUCGGAAGGAUUUGAGUAAGAGCAUAGCUGUUGGGACCCGAAAGAUGGUGAACUAUGCUUGAAUAGGGUGAAGCCAGAGGAAACUCUGGUGGAGGCUCGCAGCGGUUCUGACGUGCAAAUCGAUCGUCAAAUUUGGGCAUAGGGGCGAAAGACUAAUCGAA